This is a long non-coding RNA of Cyprinus carpio (common carp), 299 nucleotides long. RefSeq lists it as uncharacterized. Lineage: Eukaryota; Metazoa; Chordata; Actinopteri; Cypriniformes; Cyprinidae. The transcript has 3 exons. The record is from RefSeq and is a predicted model, not a curated record.
AGCUCUUCAGGUUAGCUUUUAGCAACAAAACACAAUCUGACUAAUCACUUGUAAAUUGGAUGGAUUAUCUUGUGGAUUAUCUUCCGAAGCUGCUGUUCUGCUUCUAAAAGAGGACACUGGGUAAUCGCCAUCGCUGUCUGCCUGACAUGGCCUGGGGUAGAGGGACGUGGAGCAGGAGGAAAAUGUGUUUUUGUCUGUCUUCGGUCGUCCCCGGUGAGAAGCGGCGCUGAACUCUUCCCAUCCUGUGUUUUAAAGCAGCUUAAGUGCUCCUCCAUGCCGCUGAUUUCCUUGUAGGCCUU